GACGAACGCUGGCGGCGUGGAUUAGGCAUGCAAGUCGCGCGACGGGUAGGAUUCGUCCUACUACGGAGCGGCGAACGGGUGAGUAACACGUGAGGAACCUGUCCCUACAUUCCGGAUAAUUGGCCGAAAGGCCUUGUAAUACGGGGGAGGGUCUUUGAGGGGCAUCCCUUAAAGAAGGAACGAGCAAUCGGUGCAGGGAGGGUCUCGCGGCCUAUCAGCUUGUUGGUGGGGUAAAGGCCUACCAAGGCGACGACGGGUAGCUGGUCUGAGAGGAUGGUCAGCCACAUUGGAACUGAGACACUGUCCAGACUCCUACGGGAGGCUGCAGUCGAGAAUCUUGGUCAAUGCACGAAAGUGUGAACCAGCGACGCCGCGUGAAGGAUGAAGGACCUCUGGUUCGUAAACUUCUUUAGGGGGAAGAAUGGGCUUCGGCCUUUGACGGUACCCCCUGAAUAAGCCACGGCUAAUUACGU
Molecule: ribosomal RNA, 473 nt
Filed under: uncultured bacterium
Lineage: Bacteria
Description: bacterial SSU rRNA
Rfam family: Bacterial small subunit ribosomal RNA
Source: RNAcentral